GAAAAAAGAAAAAAAAAAUAUCAAAAAAUUUGAACACGCGACUGAACAAAACAAUAGUAGGAUGACCGACGAGCUUUGUGGCACAAAGCUGGACUACUGUUUUUUCUGGGCCAGUCACCGAGAACCCCGGUACCGAGAAUCAAAUAUUCAGGAAAAUGGAAGCAUUUGGAACACGCCGCUACGAAAAUGGAAUUCAUUGUAGCAGAAGCUGCUGUGAAAAAUUUUCCGGUUUGGGAGUGUUCGGAACCCGGCGCGAAGGGGCGCAUAUUCUUGGUGGGUGCGUUCCGGAAUACAGUCCGGCUUUAAGAGCGGUAGAAAGAACGACUGGUUCUCUUUUACCCGCAUAUUUGUUGCAUGGAAGAUAGACCUCGACCUCCAACUCCAUAGGACUUAUUCCGUCGAUCUGGCAUGCAUGGACGGUAAUUCUAGAUUGCUGACUCUUGAAAGUCAAGAACGAAAAGCUGCUUCCAGAGUUGGCCUUUCCAGUAACAGCAUCGGCGGUUUUAGAUUGUGUUGCUCCCAAGCCAGGCGGACUGGAAGUGAAACCCCGUUUUAAAUUGUAAUAAAUAAUGAAACAUAAAUAAAAAUAUCAUUUGUAUAAUAAUCUAAAUCUGA
Molecule: long non-coding RNA, 615 nt
Organism: Uranotaenia lowii
Lineage: Eukaryota; Metazoa; Arthropoda; Insecta; Diptera; Culicidae
Exons: 3
Source: RefSeq, a predicted model, not a curated record